Molecule: ribosomal RNA, 837 nt
Filed under: Salinibacterium sp.
Lineage: Bacteria; Bacillati; Actinomycetota; Actinomycetes; Micrococcales; Microbacteriaceae
Description: bacterial SSU rRNA
Rfam family: Bacterial small subunit ribosomal RNA
Source: RNAcentral
CUCAGGAUGAACGCUGGCGGCGUGCUUAACACAUGCAAGUCGAACGAUGAAGCCGGGAGCUUGCUCCUGGUGGAUUAGUGGCGAACGGGUGAGUAACACGUGAGUAACCUGCCCCAGACUCUGGGAUAAGCACUGGAAACGGUGUCUAAUACCGGAUACGAGCUUCAGCCGCAUGGCUAGGAGCUGGAAAGAAUUUCGGUCUGGGAUGGACUCGCGGCCUAUCAGGUAGUUGGUGAGGUAACGGCUCACCAAGCCGACGACGGGUAGCCGGCCUGAGAGGGUGACCGGCCACACUGGGACUGAGACACGGCCCAGACUCCUACGGGAGGCAGCAGUGGGGAAUAUUGCACAAUGGGCGCAAGCCUGAUGCAGCAACGCCGCGUGAGGGACGACGGCCUUCGGGUUGUAAACCUCUUUUAGUAGGGAAGAAGCGAAAGUGACGGUACCUGCAGAAAAAGCACCGGCUAACUACGUGCCAGCAGCCGCGGUAAUACGUAGGGUGCAAGCGUUAUCCGGAAUUAUUGGGCGUAAAGAGCUCGUAGGCGGUUUGUCACGUCUGCUGUGAAAACUGGAGGCUCAACCUCCAGCCUGCAGUGGGUACGGGCAGACUAGAGUGCGGUAGGGGAGAUUGGAAUUCCUGGUGUAGCGGUGGAAUGCGCAGAUAUCAGGAGGAACACCGAUGGCGAAGGCAGAUCUCUGGGCCGUAACUGACGCUGAGGAGCGAAAGCAUGGGGAGCGAACAGGAUUAGAUACCCUGGUAGUCCAUGCCGUAAACGUUGGGAACUAGAUGUAGGGUCCAUUCCACGGAUUCUGUGUCGCAGCUAACGCAUUACAGUU